RNAcentral lists this RNase P RNA (317 nucleotides) under Deltaproteobacteria bacterium. RNAcentral's name for it is "partial RNase P RNA component class A". It matches the Rfam family "Bacterial RNase P class A", at positions 61 to 367 of the family's 367-position model. From Rfam's summary of the family: Ribonuclease P (RNase P) is a ubiquitous endoribonuclease, found in archaea, bacteria and eukarya as well as chloroplasts and mitochondria. Its best characterised activity is the generation of mature 5'-ends of tRNAs by cleaving the 5'-leader elements of precursor-tRNAs. Lineage: Bacteria; Pseudomonadati; Myxococcota; Myxococcia. The record is from RNAcentral.
AAGGGCAAGGGUGGUCGCUAACAGCGACCGGGGGUAACCCUAGGGAAAGUGCCACAGAAAACAGACCGCUAUCCUGUAUUUGGGGUAGUAAGGGUGAAACGGUGAGGUAAGAGCUCACCAGUUCCUCGGGUGACCGGGGAAGCUAGGUAAACCCCACCCGGAGCAAGACCAAUAGAGGGGCUUAAGGGGCGGCCCGUCCUGCCCCUGGGUAGGUCGCUUGAGAUGGCAGGCAACUGUCAUCCUAGAUGAAUGAUUGCCACCUGGCAUGGGGUAACCCUUGGCAGGGACAGAACCCGGCUUAUGACCUGCUUCAGCCC